RNAcentral lists this ribosomal RNA (722 nucleotides) under Paenibacillus sp. RNAcentral describes it as "bacterial SSU rRNA". It matches the Rfam family "Bacterial small subunit ribosomal RNA", at positions 56 to 760 of the family's 1533-position model. The record is from RNAcentral. Lineage: Bacteria; Bacillati; Bacillota; Bacilli; Caryophanales; Paenibacillaceae.
UGCAGUCGAGCGGACUUGAUGAGAAUCUUGCUUCUCUGAUGGUUAGCGGCGGACGGGUGAGUAACACGUAGGCAACCUGCCCUCAAGCUUGGGACAACUACCGGAAACGGUACCUAAUACCGAAUACUUGUUUUCUUCGCCUGAAGGCAACUGGAAAGACGGAGCAAUCUGUCACUUGAGGAUGGGCCUGCGGCGCAUUAGCUAGUUGGUGAGGUAACGGCUCACCAAGGCGACGAUGCGUAGCCGACCUGAGAGGGUGAUCGGCCACACUGGGACUGACACACGGCCCAAACUCCUACGGGAGGCAGCAAUAGGGAAUCUUCCGCAAUGGGCGAAACCCUGAGGGAGCAAUGCCGCGUGAGUGAUGAAGGUUUUCGGAUCGUAAAGCUCUGUUGCCAGGGAAAAACGCUUAUGAUAUUAACUGCUCCUGAGGUGACGGUACCUGAAAAUAAAGCCCCGGCUAACUACGUGCCAGCAGCCGCGGUAAUACAUACGGGGCAAGCGUUGUCCGGAAUUAUUGGGCGUAAAGCGCGCGCAGGCGGUCAUUUAAGUCUGGGUGUUUAAUCCCGGGGGCUCACCCCCGGAUCGCACUGGAAACUGGGUGACUUGAGUGCAAAAGAGGAGAGUGAAAUUCCACGUGUAGCGGUGAAAUGCGUAGAGAUGUGAGGACACCAGUGGCGAAUGCGACUCUCUGGGCUGUACUGACGCUGAGGCGCGAAAGC